Molecule: long non-coding RNA, 303 nt
Filed under: Salvia miltiorrhiza (redroot sage)
Lineage: Eukaryota; Viridiplantae; Streptophyta; Magnoliopsida; Lamiales; Lamiaceae
Description: long non-coding RNA (SMIL_LNC004213)
Source: RNAcentral
UGUAAUUUUAGUGCUUCGUAUUUGAAUAAAAUUUGUUUCUGACUUGUGAAAGAUAUGUUAUAAGCCUUUCGACGGAAUAUGUAAAUUACAGUUGAUUGGGUCCAUAUAAUACCAUUUUGAGUUGCUAGAGUAAAGCUUAAAGAGCAGAGUUGCCAUAGCAGAGCUUCCAGAGCAGAGGGUCAGAGCCACGUUGCUAGAGCAGAGAUACCAGAGCAGAGCUAGCCAGAGCAGAGAUGCCAGAGCCAGUGCUAACCAGAGCAGAGUUGCCAGAGCAGAGCUGACAGAGCCAGAGCUAACCAGAGC